RNAcentral lists this unclassified non-coding RNA (492 nucleotides) under Hevea brasiliensis (rubber tree). Lineage: Eukaryota; Viridiplantae; Streptophyta; Magnoliopsida; Malpighiales; Euphorbiaceae. The record is from RNAcentral.
UUUAUGUUUUCUCCUAACAUAUCUUGUGAUAAAAUACGCAGAUACAUUCAUUGCAUGUAUAUUACGUAUAGUUUACCAAACCAUAAAACCGAGUAAUAGAGUAUAUGACCCACUUCAGCCAAGAUCAGGUACUGUAAAGAACUCUUCAUCUUCAUUGCAAACCUCAAUCCUAGGCUUCUUAUUAGGCAUGUUGGACUUGGAUGCUCUGUAUGAAGUAACAUUGACUGACGGUGGAACUGUCAAUUGAGGAACUUCAGCUGCUGCUAGUGCCUCUUGAGGAAGUUGCUCACCGAAAAGUUCCACGUCAGCUAACCACUGAAACUCUCCAAAUUCAAGAUGCUCUUUCUUGUCAGUGGAUGAUUCAAAGUCUGAGAAUUGCAUUAAGUCAUCGGCCGCCCAUGAAGUGCUGAAGCUUGAUGGUUGUUGUGCAGGCAAUUUCAUGGAAGUUUGUUGUGCACUCUGAUUGGGUGGCUCUAAACAACUCUUCUUAGU